RNAcentral lists this ribosomal RNA (2172 nucleotides) under Cocculina sp. MCZ:Mala:378323. Its description in RNAcentral is "eukaryotic LSU rRNA". It matches the Rfam family "Eukaryotic large subunit ribosomal RNA", at positions 56 to 1887 of the family's 3401-position model. Lineage: Eukaryota; Metazoa; Mollusca; Gastropoda; Cocculinidae. The record is from RNAcentral.
AAGAGAGGAUUACAAGAUUCCCUCAGUAACGGCGAGUGAAGUGGGAUGUAGCCCAGCACCGAAUCCGCUCGGCCUUGCGCCUUGUGGACCUGUGGUGUUUGGGGCCCCAGCUUUCGUCUAGUGUCCACGCUCCUCAGUCGCAUUGAAGGGCUGUUGCUCCGCAGCGGGUGUCAGUCCCUUUUGUAGAGGUGGAUCGGGCGAAGGUUCGAGGGGCCUCUCGAGUCGGGUUGUUUGAGAUUGCAGCCCAAAGACGGUGGUAAGCUCCAUCGAAGGCUAAACAUUGCCACGAGUCCGAUAGCGAACAAGUACCGUGAGGGAACGUUGAAAAGAACUUCGAAGAGAGAGUUCAAUAGUACGUGAAACCGCCUAGAGGGAAACGAGUGGCUCCGCAUUGUCGGCCUGCGGCGUUCAUCUCGACGUGCAACGUGCUUCCGCCCGCGGUUGUCGAUCGGUCUGGAUCUCUGAUUCGGACCUCGUCAUUGACUGCAAGGCGCGAGGCUCGCACUCGAGUGCAUUCGCUGCGAGGCAGGGCGUCACGAUCGCUUUCUGGUGUGCAAACGACGAGCAUGUCGUCACGUUCGAGCGUCUUCACGACGGCUCGUCUCGUGCGACGGCCGUCCAGCUUGCCGGAGAGCGUGUAACGAUCACCGCGAAGGCACGGGCAAGACGGCGACUGUUGUCGAAGGACGAGCCGGUUCUACCCUCGCGGUAGUCUGGCAGUUCACGCGGCAGAGAAGCUGGCCCUGCGUGGUUUUGGAUCGGUGGCGAUUGAGUCGGCCUGCCACUCGGCCCGUCUUGAAACACGGACCAAGGAGUCUAGCAUGUGCGCGAGUCGCAGAGUGCCAAGAGACUCUCGGGCGCAAAGAAAUUGAGGUGAGAAACGUGCAGCGUUGGCCACUGGUUGACGUCUGUCGAGGUGGGAUCCGCUCGCGCCGUCUUAGGACGAACGCGUCGGCGCACCACCGGCCCGUCUAUAUGGAGCCCUCGUCUUCGGGCUUGGGACUUCGAGACGGAGCGUGAGCGUACAUGCUGGUACCCGAAAGAUGGUGAACUAUGCCUGGGCAGGACGAAGCCAGAGGAAACUCUGGUGGAGGUCCGCAGCGGUUCUGACGUGCAAAUCGAUCGUCAAACCUGGGUAUAGGGGCGAAAGACUAAUCGAACCAUUUAGUAGCUGGUUCCCUUCGAAGUUUCCCUCAGGAUAGCUGGCCCUCGAGGAAAUGAAUCAGUUUUAUCCGAUAAAGCGACGAUUAGAGGCGUCGGGGUCUACAAGACCUUAACCUACUCUCAAACUUUAAAUGGGUGAGAGACGAGGCUCGCGGUCGAACACGGAGCCUCGUGACGAAUGAGAGGGCCAAGUGGGCCGAUUUUGGUAAGCAGAACUGGCGCUGUGGGAUGAACCAAACGCGCGGUUAAGGUGCCAAACGCUAAUGCUCAGCAGAACCCAUAAAAGGUGUUGCUUGAUCUAGACAGCAGGACGGUGGCCAUGGAAGUCGGAAUCCGCUAAGGAGUGUGUAACAACUCACCUGCCGAAUCAAGCAGCCCUGAAAAUGGAUGGCGCUAGAGCGUUGGACCUAUACCGUGCCGUCCGGGCAGUUGGUUGCCAUUCGCUGGCAUUCAGUUGGACGCCCGGACGAGUAGAAGGGUCGCCGCGGUGAGCGUCGAAGUUCGAGACGUGGGUCUGGAUGGAGCCGCCGCGGGUGCAGAUCUUGGUGGUAGUAGCAAAUAUUCAAAUGAGAACCUUGAAGGCUGAAGUGGAGAAGGGUUCCAUGUGAACACCGCUUGGUUAUGGGUGAGUCGGUCCUAAGAUACGGGAGAAAUCCUGUUGAAAAGGAGCAAUGACACAAGAAUGCUCAUUCGCAUCGAAAGGGAAUCGAGUUAAUAUUCUCGAACCUGAGCACGGAAAUCGACUCCUCGUGGGUCCACAGCUGUAAAGCAAACGAAAUCGGAGACGUUGGCGAGGGCCCCGGGAAGAGUUUUCUUUUCUUUGUGAGGGACCCAAUCCCUGGAAUCGGCUCGACCGGAGAUAGGGACACGGGUUCCGUAAAGCACCGCGGUUCUUGCGGUGUCCGGAGCACUCUCGCCGACCCUUGAAAAUCCGAUGGAGUGGUAGUAAUUUUCGUGCCAGGCCGUACCCAUUUCCGCAUCAGGUCUCCAAGGUGAAAAGCCUCUAGU